Sebastes umbrosus (honeycomb rockfish) is the source of this 438-nucleotide long non-coding RNA. RefSeq lists it as uncharacterized. The record is from RefSeq and is a predicted model, not a curated record. NCBI's taxonomy places the organism in Eukaryota, Metazoa, Chordata, Actinopteri, Perciformes, Sebastidae. The transcript is spliced from 3 exons.
CAAUUCUUCAUUUUCCUGACAAUUUCCUUGGGGGUCCUUUGGCCAGGAUUUCUGGAUAAUGGCUGAGAUGAGUUUCCCAAACUUCCAGUUCACCUUGAACUUCUCAAACAGCUUCCCCUCCGACUUGUUCUGCAUAUGAGGUGAGCCUGCGGUAACUCCUGUCUGCUGCUCCAAAAUGGUAGCGACCGUCAUCUACUGUAGACGACGUAUUUGUACGGUAUCGACACAGACUCAGCUUCACUUUUGACUGUCUGCAGAUUGCCCUCGACCAGAAAACCAUGUUCUCCGAGAUCCCUGCGUGGAAAAGAAAAUAAAGUCAAAGUGGAGAAAGUCUAUGUUUUAGAAAUCAGCAAAGAAAAUGUAAGACUUUAAGAGGAUUAUUUUUUGGAUGUAUCAUUGUUUGAUGCGCCUAUACAUUAAACCACCAUCUGAGCUUAA